This 666-nucleotide long non-coding RNA is filed under the name Physcomitrium patens. RNAcentral describes it as "long non-coding RNA (PPAT_LNC001735)". The record is from RNAcentral. Lineage: Eukaryota; Viridiplantae; Streptophyta; Bryopsida; Funariales; Funariaceae.
UUGUCACCAAAACGCCCUGAAGUCACUCCUGGUGAAGAUUGUCCGACUUUUUCAUGAUGCAACGUCCGUCCCUUGAACGUUGUGUCCUCCAUGGUUUCGUGAUCUGUAUCCGAGCUCUCGAAGCCUGUAUGAGAUAGAGGUGAGGAUUGUAACUGUGAAACUUUUCUCGACCGUGGGGCCUUCUUGUGAGUAGAGUCUUCCGAGUCUGAAGGCCCACGUACGUUCGUGCUAACUACACCCUGUGCUUUUGGUUGUAGAAAGAAAGAGAGCUCCUUGUGCCUCUUGAUUCCUGCAAGCUGGAAAGACAGAAAAUUGUCAGAAAGCGAAUACAAGUGCCCUUCGGGAUUUGAAAAAGAUGCAGAUUAAUUCUUCAACCUUCAUCACAAACUAACGAUGCGGCAACUUUCCUUUACCUGGCUAUCUAUCGCAAUCUAACUAGCAAUAUCUUCACAUCUCCAAUUCUCCAGCGUACAUAAGCUGAGCUAGUGACAAUUGCAAGGGUGCUACGAUUUGAUUGCGAUUGCAAGGGUAUGACUUCAUCACUACUAUAAUCAAGGACAUAGAAUGCUGGAAUCAAGCAUUUUUGUAGAGCUUUCUCAGUGGAAUCUUUGUAGAUGAUAAAGAAUAAAAACCUUUGGUUGGUUUGGAACGUGAAAAGAAAAGUAG